AGGACGAACGCUGGUGGCGUGCUUAACACAUGCAAGUCGAACGGUGAAGCCCAGCUUGCUGGGUGGAUCAGUGGCGAACGGGUGAGUAACACGUGAGCAACCUGCCCCCUACUUCGGGAUAAGCCUUGGAAACGAGGUCUAAUACCGGAUAUGAGCACUUACCGCAUGGUGGGUGUUGGAAAGUUUUUCGGUGGGGGAUGGGCUCGCGGCCUAUCAGCUUGUUGGUGGGUAAUGGCCUACCAAGGCGUCGACGGGUAGCCGCUGAGAGGGCGACGGCCGACACGUGGACUGAGACACGGCCAGACUCCGUACGGGAGGCAGCAGUGGGAAUAGUGCACAAGUGGGCGAAAGCUGAUGCGA
Molecule: ribosomal RNA, 360 nt
Filed under: uncultured soil bacterium
Lineage: Bacteria
Description: bacterial SSU rRNA
Rfam family: Bacterial small subunit ribosomal RNA
Source: RNAcentral